Molecule: transfer RNA, 68 nt
Filed under: Splendrillia sp. 1 MNHN IM 2013-9619
Lineage: Eukaryota; Metazoa; Mollusca; Gastropoda; Neogastropoda; Drilliidae
Description: tRNA-Ile
Source: RNAcentral
AGUGUUACGCCGGAUGAACGGAAAUCAUUGAUGUUGAUUACUAUGGGAUAUUAUAUUCUCUAACACUA